Molecule: ribosomal RNA, 253 nt
Filed under: uncultured bacterium
Lineage: Bacteria
Description: partial 16S ribosomal RNA
Rfam family: Bacterial small subunit ribosomal RNA
Source: RNAcentral
UACGUAGGGUGCGAGCGUUGCCCGGAUUUAUUGGGCGUAAAGGGCGCGUAGGCGGCUGUACAAGUCAAAGGUGAAAUCCCUCGGCUCAACUGAGGAACUGCCUUUGAAACUGUACGGCUUGAGGCCGGGAGGGGGUAGCGGAAUUCCCAGUGUAGCGGUGAAAUGCGUAGAUACUGGGAGGAACACCAGUGGCGAAGGCGGCUACCUGGACCGGUUCUGACGCUGAGGCGCGAAAGCGUGGGUAGCAAACAGG